ACUCCUACGGGAGGCAGCAGUGGGGAAUAUUGCACAAUGGGCGCAAGCCUGAUGCAGCCAUGCCGCGUGUAUGAAGAAGGCCUUCGGGUUGUAAAGUACUUUUCAGCAGUGAGGAAGGUGGGUAUGUUAAUAGCAUAUUCAUUUGACGUUAGCUGCAGAAGAAGCACCGGCUAACUCCGUGCCAGCAGCCGCGGUAAUACGGAGGGUGCGAGCGUUAAUCGGAAUUACUGGGCGUAAAGCGCAUGCAGGUGGUUUGUUAAGUCAGAUGUGAAAGCCCGGGGCUCAACCUCGGAAUUGCAUUUGAAACUGGCAAACUAGAGUACUGUAGAGGGGGGUAGAAUUUCAGGUGUAGCGGUGAAAUGCGUAGAGAUCUGAAGGAAUACCGGUGGCGAAGGCGGCCCCCUGGACAGAUACUGACACUCAGAUGCGAAAGCGUGGGGAGCAAACAGGAUUAGAUACCCUGGUAGGCUCU
This 472-nucleotide ribosomal RNA is filed under the name uncultured bacterium. RNAcentral describes it as "bacterial SSU rRNA". It matches the Rfam family "Bacterial small subunit ribosomal RNA", at positions 335 to 798 of the family's 1533-position model. The record is from RNAcentral.